This 469-nucleotide ribosomal RNA is filed under the name uncultured bacterium. RNAcentral's name for it is "bacterial SSU rRNA". It matches the Rfam family "Bacterial small subunit ribosomal RNA", at positions 28 to 507 of the family's 1533-position model. The record is from RNAcentral.
GACGAACGCUGGCGGCGUGCCUAACACAUGCAAGUCGAGCGGAGAUAAGCGGAUGGUAACUGAAGUUUGUCUUAGCGGCGGACGGGUGAGUAACACGUGGGCAACCUGCCUUAGAGUGGGGGAUAACACCGGGAAAUCGGUGCUAAUACCGCAUAACAUACACAAACUGCAUGGUAAGUGUAUCAAAGGAGCAAUCCGCUUUAAGAUGGGCCCGCGGCUGAUUAGCUAGUUGGUAAGGUAACGGCUUACCAAGGCGACGAUCAGUAGCCGACCUGAGAGGGUGACCGGCCACACUGGAACUGAGACACGGUCCAGACUCCUACGGGAGGCAGCAGUGGGAAUAUUGCGCAAUGGGGGAACCCUGACGCAGCAACGCCGCGUGGAGGAAGAAGGUCUUCGGAUUGUAAACUCCUGUCUUCUGGGACGAAGAAUGACGGUACCAGAGGAGGAAGCCACGGCUAACUACGUG